UAAUCUGCAUCCUGAGGUUUA
This 21-nucleotide microRNA is filed under the name Theobroma cacao (cacao). RNAcentral's name for it is "tcc-miR2111". The record is from miRBase by way of RNAcentral. RNAcentral also lists the same sequence under 11 other names. Lineage: Eukaryota; Viridiplantae; Streptophyta; Magnoliopsida; Malvales; Malvaceae.